Molecule: ribosomal RNA, 485 nt
Filed under: uncultured bacterium
Lineage: Bacteria
Description: bacterial SSU rRNA
Rfam family: Bacterial small subunit ribosomal RNA
Source: RNAcentral
GCUGUGGAACUCCUACGGGAGGCAGCAGCGGGGAAUUUUGGACAAUGGGGGCAACCCUGAUCCAGCAAUGCCGCGUGAGUGAAGAAGGCCUUCGGGUUGUAAAGCUCUUCUGUCAGGGAAGAAACGGUAGUAGCUAAUAUCUAUUACUAAUGACGGUACCUGAAGAAUAAGCACCGGCUAACUACGUGCCAGCAGCCGCGGUAAUACGUAGGGUGCAAGCGUUAAUCGGAAUUACUGGGCGUAAAGCGUGCGCAGGCGGUUGUGUAAGUCAGAUGUGAAAUCCCCGGGCUCAACCUGGGAAUUGCAUUUGAGACUGCACGGUUAGGGUGUGUCAGAGGGGGGCAGAAUACCACGUGUAGCAGUGAAAUGCGUAGAUAUGUGGAGGAAUACAGAUGGCGAAGGCAGCCCCCUGGGAUAACACUGACGCUCAUGCACGAAAGCGUGGGGAGCAAACAGGGUUAGAUACCCCAGUAUUGCUACCACGU